Molecule: ribosomal RNA, 645 nt
Filed under: uncultured bacterium
Lineage: Bacteria
Description: bacterial SSU rRNA
Rfam family: Bacterial small subunit ribosomal RNA
Source: RNAcentral
GAGUUUGAUCCUGGCUCAGAACGAACGCUGGCGGCAUGCCUAACACAUGCAAGUCGAACGAACCCUUCGGGGUGAGUGGCGCACGGGUGCGUAACGCGUGGGAACCUGCCUUUAGGUUCGGAUUAACUCAGAGAAAUUUGAGCUAAUACCGGAUAAUGUCUUCGGACCAAAGAUUUAUCGCCUUUAGAUGGGCCCGCGUUAGAUUAGAUAGUUGGUGGGGUAAUGGCCUACCAAGUCGACGAUCUAUAGCUGGUCUGAGAGGAUGAUCAGCCACACUGGGACUGAGACACGGCCCAGACUCCUACGGGAGGCAGCAGUGGGGAAUAUUGGACAAUGGGCGAAAGCCUGGUCCAGCAAUGCCGCGUGAGUGAUGAAGGCCUUAGGGUUGUAAAGCUCUUUUACUAGGGAUGAUAAUGACAGUACCUAGAGAAUAAGCUCCGGCUAACUCCGUGCCAGCAGCCGCGGUAAUACGGAGGGAGCUAGCGUUGUUCGGAAUUACUGGGCGUAAAGAGAACGUAGGCGGCUAUCCAAGUCAGGGGUGAAAUCCCGGGGCUCAACCCCGGAACUGCCCUUGAAACUAGGUAGCUAGAAUUCUGGAGAGGUUAGUGGAAUUCCGAGUGUAGAGGUGAAAUUCGUAGAUAUUCG